GACGAACGCUGGCGGCGUGCUUAACACAUGCAAGUCGAACGGAAAGGCCCUGCUUUUGUGGGGUGCUCGAGUGGCGAACGGGUGAGUAACACGUGAGUAACCUGCCCUUGACUUUGGGAUAACUUCAGGAAACUGGGGCUAAUACCGGAUAGGAGCUCCUGCUGCAUGGUGGGGGUUGGAAAGUUUCGGCGGUUGGGGAUGGACUCGCGGCUUAUCAGCUUGUUGGUGGGGUAGUGGCUUACCAAGGCUUUGACGGGUAGCCGGCCUGAGAGGGUGACCGGCCACAUUGGGACUGAGAUACGGCCCAGACUCCUACGGGAGGCAGCAGUGGGGAAUAUUGCCCGAUGGGCGGAAGCCUGAUGCAGCAACGCCGCGUGCGGGAUGACGGCCUUCGGGUUGUAAACCGCUUUCGCCUGUGACGAAGCGUGGGUGACGGUAAUGGGUAAAGAAGCACCGGCUAACUACGUG
RNAcentral lists this ribosomal RNA (468 nucleotides) under uncultured bacterium. RNAcentral describes it as "partial 16S ribosomal RNA". It matches the Rfam family "Bacterial small subunit ribosomal RNA", at positions 28 to 507 of the family's 1533-position model. The record is from RNAcentral.